CUACGGGCUGGCUCCAGUGGGGAAUAUUGCACAAUGGAGGAAACUCUGAUGCAGCAACGCCGCGUGGAGGAUGACACUUUUCGGAGCGUAAACUCCUUUUAUAUAGGAAGAAGAUGACGGUACUAUAUGAAUAAGCGCCGGCUAACUCCGUGCCAGCAGCCGCGGUAAUACGGAGGGCGCAAGCGUUACUCGGAAUCACUGGGCGUAAAGAGCGUGUAGGCGGAUUAAAAAGUCAGAAGUGAAAUCCUAUAGCUUAACUAUAGAACUGCUUCUGAAACUCUUAAUCUAGAAUAUGGGAGAGGUAGAUGGAAUUUCUGGUGUAGGGGUAAAAUCCGUAGAGAUCAGAAGGAAUACCGAUUGCGAAGGCGAUCUACUAGAACAUUAUUGACGCCGAGACGCGAAAGCGUGGGGAGCAAACAGGAUUAGAUACCCCGGUAGUC
Molecule: ribosomal RNA, 440 nt
Filed under: uncultured bacterium
Lineage: Bacteria
Description: partial 16S ribosomal RNA
Rfam family: Bacterial small subunit ribosomal RNA
Source: RNAcentral